This 329-nucleotide unclassified non-coding RNA is filed under the name soil metagenome. RNAcentral's name for it is "partial contains 5.8S ribosomal RNA, internal transcribed spacer 2, and large subunit ribosomal RNA". The stretch from base 1 to 120 matches the Rfam family "5.8S ribosomal RNA", at positions 35 to 154 of the family's 154-position model. The record is from RNAcentral.
GAUGAAGAACGUAGCGAAAUGCGAUAAGUAGUGUGAAUUGCAGAAUUCAGUGAAUCAUCGAAUCUUUGAACGCACAUUGCGCCCCUUGGUAUCCCGAGGGGCAUGCCUGUUCGAGCGUCAUUUCACCACUCAAGCCUGGCUUGGUGUUGGGCGACGUCCUCUUUGGGGACGCGCCCCGAAACGCUCGGCGGCGUGGCACCGGCUUUAAGCGUAGCAGAAUCUUUCGCUUUGGAAGUCGGGGCCCCGUCUGCCGGAAGACCUGCUCGCAAGGUUGACCUCGGAUCAGGCAGGGAUACCCGCUGAACUUAAGCAUAUCAAUAAGCGGAGGA